AAGUCGUAACAAGGUUUCCGUAGGUGAACCUGCGGAAGGAUCAUUAACACGUGAUUUCUUCACGUUUUAAACCACAGUAACCGUAUUUCCUGUUGUCUUGGAGAGUCGCAAGCGGACGAGGGGCGCCACUUGAGAAUACUCGGUUUGCCCGCUAGCUGGGAACCCAUUCAUUCUUCGCAAUGAUGAGGUUUCGCUCGGUGAGACUUCAGCGUAAUGAUUUCCUAUUUCCAACGCUUACACCCCGGCAUGGGUAGGAAACGAAAUUUUUUUACCUUUCUUUUUUUUCUACUAAUCCUUUGUACAGUCCUUUGAAUUCCUGGUUUCGGCUGGUCGAGUUCGACUGAUUGUCACAAUAUUAAUUCGAAACAACUCGUAGCAACGGAUAUCUUGGUUCUC
Molecule: unclassified non-coding RNA, 396 nt
Filed under: fungal sp.
Lineage: Eukaryota; Fungi
Description: partial internal transcribed spacer region
Rfam family: Eukaryotic small subunit ribosomal RNA (bases 1-46)
Source: RNAcentral